AGUCUGGUUCAGGAGACCGGGGGCGGGUACUUCCGGCAUGAUUGCCCAAUCGCAGAGGUGGGGCACUUUCUAUAAAAGCUUCAGCCUCGGGCGCGUGCUUUCUUUUGGGAAUCCAGUGGCGGCCGUGGGCGCUUGUCUGUGCGGUCGCUGCGAGUCCACGUUAGGGGAGGAUCUGGGCCCCGAAUGGGGCUGAGGGGUCCUCCAGGGCCAUCAUCCGCCGGGGCUCCGCCUCUGUCUUCAGCGUUGUACGCGUUCCUUGCUCCGCCCGCCUUCCCCCCCAACCCGUCCGGUUCUUUUGGGAAGGUGCGACCCCAGACCGACUUCUCUCCGCAGGUAAGCCUGGGCCGGGCUUGGUUUCCCCUAUGCAGCUUGGAGCCUGUGAUGAAUUGCUUUCGUUUCUGACACCUCGUAUGAAAACUGCAUGUGCAGUCUGAUUAUUUUGCAAGACUGAGGCUUCAGGGUGCGCCCCCUUGACAGGAGGGGCUGGUGUGAAAACAUCUCCAAAAAAUCGGGGUAGCGGGCUUCUGUCUACAUUUCGGCUCUGUGUGUCUGACUUUUAGGGCGGUCGGUGACGUGGUUGGAGACCGUGGACGUAAAUGAACGUCAGCCCGGGGCCUGGUGGUAAGGCGGGAGUCCACGUCCGUAUCUGCGGCGCUUAACAAUAAAGCAGAGGUGGUGAGUUGAUGGGA
This 689-nucleotide long non-coding RNA is filed under the name Lynx pardinus (Iberian lynx). The stretch from base 374 to 456 matches the Rfam family "Small nucleolar RNA SNORD60". The record is from RNAcentral. Lineage: Eukaryota; Metazoa; Chordata; Mammalia; Carnivora; Felidae.